GAAGUGCAGUGAUAAAGCGGCGUGAGGCUACCACUGCCAUGCGAAUAGUAUGCGAAAGCCGCUUUCUAUGUUCGCGGAUAUAUUCCUGCUCCACUGUGCACGUAUAAACUGUAUAUAUACAUACACACGUAUACGCUGAUAGCGCCUAACAUACAGCCUCAUGGAAGAGAGGCGUUCAAGAAGACGGACGGGAGAACCAUAGGAGUUUCAGUUGAUCGUAGGAAGUACGCUGGUCAACUCGGCACGUGCGCGUCUUCACAAGGAAACACAAACACGCGCGAUUAUUAUCGCGAACAUGUACGCCGAUUAAAAAGAGUUCGAUCUCGCUGGCGGUUUCAUCAUGCUCGAAACCACGAGGAAAUCAAUAGGCCGCAGGACUGUUGGGUGUGCCCUCGACGACCGGAAAGAGGAAAGAACGUUGGUGAACUAACAAGAAUUUUCCGACGAGGAUGCCGUAAACCGUGCUGAGCAUCGGGACAGAAUUACAGUGUACAUAACGACGUGACAAUGAUGUUCCAUCCGCACCGAGCGAUGCGUCAAAUCUCAGAAAUUUCCUACGUAGGAAGUUUCAAAUUGAUAAGGAUGUCGACUAAUCGGGAGGGCGAAACUGCAGUGACUAUUCCACUGCAGUACAAUGAAGCUCAUUGGAAAGCUAUUUUUGAAAAAUAUGAUCUCGAUGGAGAUGGAAAAAUAUCACUGCAAGAAUUAAAAGCGAUGAUACGCGGGCCAGAUUUUUCCAAGGACAUCCCUGCCGGGGUAGUCCGCACGAUAAUGCGUAAGGCAGAUCUGGAUGAAUCUGGCUAUUUGGAGUAUCCAGAAUUCAUAGCAAUGAUUCAUAGAAAGGACAUGCAGGGUAUAUUUGGACACCUCGUGCAACGUUACGUGCACUCUGUGAUACCUCAACGACCAAGCCGCGCGAUGAGACAAUCUUCCAUGGGUUCGAGGUAUUAUCCCCAGCGACAAAUCAGUAUUCUAAUGCACGCACCACCUUCUCCUCUUCCCUCGAGCUUUGGUGAUUCUCCUCAGACUGCUAUGAUUAGGGCGAAAAGAUGCCGUUCAGCACGUUUUACUGAUCUACAGCAACAAACAAGUACAAUAACGGAAUCUUCUCUCUACUCUAGCGAUUAUCCAGAUGGGCUGUACGAAGAAGAGUACAGCUGUCGACCACCGGCCAUAGCAAUGAUUAUCAUAUCGAUAAUAGAAAUCAUUUUGUUCAUGUAUGAUGUGAUUAAGCACAAAUCUCUUUCUGUAGAGGGACCAGCGGCUACAUUAUUUAUUUAUAAUCCGCACAAGAGGUAUCAAGCCUGGCGGUAUCUAACGUACAUGUUUGUGCAUGUCGGAGUCUUUCAUUUGGUCGUUAAUCUAUUGGUACAAAUUAUGUUGGGCAUUCCUCUGGAGAUGGUUCAUAAAUGGUGGAGAGUAUUGAUUAUAUACUUAGCCGGAGUACUAGCUGGUUCUCUAGGUACAUCCGUUUCGGAUCCAACGGUUUAUCUGGCUGGUGCUUCGGGCGGAGUAUAUGCAUUAAUUACUGCACACGUGGCGACUAUAAUAAUGAACUGGUCGCAAAUGGAAUUUGCUGUAUUGCAACUAUUAGUCUUUCUCGUUGUAACAAGCGUUGAUGUCGGUCAAGCUGUAUACAAUCGUUACGUGCUCGAUACGAACGACCAGAUCGGCUACGUUGCUCAUUUGGCCGGUGCUGUGGCAGGUCUUUUAGUGGGCAUAAAUGUCCUCCGAAAUCUCGAGGUACAAACUUGGGAAAAGGUUGUUUGGUGGGCUAGUAUGUUUACUUACACAGGUCUCAUGACUGCAGCUAUUUUGUGGAAUGUAUUGUACACCUCGUAUUACGAAUGAUGAUAAAUGAAAUAUCGAUAUUCGAUCUGUUCGAAUAACACGUAUAUAUAUAUUGAUAAAGAUAAAUGUAUUAUUAAAGAGAGAAAACUUGCCUUGAAAAGAUUAUAGAAUCGAACAAAUAGCAAGUAUUUUCAUACAGACUCUAUCGAGAAGAGGAAUUAAGGUUUACAGUUUUGCAUCAAUCACUAACCGUAAAUAUAUUAAGUAAUAUUAAACGCAGUAUUUUUUUUUUUAAGUACAUAUUUUUGAAAGCAAGUUGAACAAUAAGAUGCUGUGAUACUUUUGCUAUACGUAUUAAGUUUAUGCAAUUUGCAAGUUUGGCAAAUUGAAUGACAUUAAAAUUAUGCGCGGAAUAUUAAUAUUUUUAUUUUAGAACUUAUUGCCUCAUUAUUUGAAAAUGCGUAAAAAAACUACCUCUAUCAGUAUGCACAAUAAUCUAUUGUGUACAUGAAACGUCAAUUAAUCAUUCAACAAUACUUCAUGUAUUUUACAAGCACAGAUAUAUAUGUGUUUUGUCUUUAAUAAUCUGAAUAACGUAUAGAAAAUCUAAAAAAA
RNAcentral lists this unclassified non-coding RNA (2406 nucleotides) under Pogonomyrmex barbatus (red harvester ant). RNAcentral's name for it is "protein rhomboid, transcript variant X4". The record is from RNAcentral. Lineage: Eukaryota; Metazoa; Arthropoda; Insecta; Hymenoptera; Formicidae.